This 462-nucleotide ribosomal RNA is filed under the name uncultured bacterium. RNAcentral's name for it is "partial 16S ribosomal RNA". It matches the Rfam family "Bacterial small subunit ribosomal RNA", at positions 28 to 507 of the family's 1533-position model. The record is from RNAcentral.
GACGAACGCUGGCGGCGUGCUUAACACAUGCAAGUCGAACGGAAAGGCCCUUCGGGGUACUCGAGUGGCGAACGGGUGAGUAACACGUGGGUGAUCUGCCCUGCACUUUGGGAUAAGCCUGGGAAACUGGGUCUAAUACCGAAUAGGACCACGCGCUUCAUGGUGUGUGGUGGCAAGCUUUUGCGGUGUGGGAUGGGCCCGCGGCCUAUCAGCUUGUUGGUGGGGUAAUGGCCUACCAAGGCGACGACGGGUAGCCGGCCUGAGAGGGUGACCGGCCACACUGGGACUGAGAUAGGGCCCAGACGCCUACGGGAGGCAGCAGUGGGGAAUAUUGCACAAUGGGCGCAAGCCUGAUGCAGCGACGCCGCGUGAGGGAUGACGGCCUUCGGGUUGUAAACCUCUUUCACCAGGGACGAAGCGUAAGUGACGGUACCUGGAGAAGAAGCACCGGCCAACUACGUG